AAUGAACGCUGGCGGCAGGCCUAACACAUGCAAGUCGAACGGAUCCUUCGGGAUUAGUGGCGGACGGGUGAGUAACGCGUGGGAACAUACCCAAAGGUACGGAAUAGCCUCGGGAAACUGGGAGUAAUACCGUAUGUGCUCGAAAGAGGAAAGAUUUAUCGCCUUUGGAUUGGCCCGCGUUGGAUUAGGUAGUUGGUGGGGUAAUGGCCUACCAAGCCGACGAUCCAUAGCUGGUUUGAGAGGAUGAUCAGCCACACUGGGACUGAGACACGGCCCAAACUCCUACGGGAGGCAGCAGAGGGGAAUCUUAGACAAUGGGGGAAACCCUGAUCUAGCCAUGCCGCGUGAUCGAUGAAGGCCUUAGGGUUGUAAAGAUCUUUCAGGUGGGAAGAUAAUGACUGUACCACCAGAAGAAGCCCCGGCUAACUCCGUGCCAGCAGCCGCGGUAA
This 449-nucleotide ribosomal RNA is filed under the name uncultured bacterium. RNAcentral describes it as "partial 16S ribosomal RNA". It matches the Rfam family "Bacterial small subunit ribosomal RNA", at positions 29 to 523 of the family's 1533-position model. The record is from RNAcentral.